This is a long non-coding RNA of Triticum dicoccoides, 454 nucleotides long. RefSeq lists it as uncharacterized. The record is from RefSeq and is a predicted model, not a curated record. The transcript has 3 exons. Lineage: Eukaryota; Viridiplantae; Streptophyta; Magnoliopsida; Poales; Poaceae.
GGCCCGGUGCGUCGGUGGGCCGGUGGCGGCGAGCAGGGGACGCCGGAAGGAACUUCAGAAAUCGACAGAUUACUGGUGCAGUGAUCAAUUGUUGGUUGGUCAGGCAAGAUUAGCCAAGUGCUGAUCUUACUUUUACUGCUGUGUAAGUGCGAAUUCUUGUUGGAGAUGGCAAACGAACACGAGAGAGACAAGCAAAUCGGAGAAGAGGAAGAGGAGGAAGAAGAAGAGUAUGUCUUGCUAGAGUUGGAUGGUUGUAUGUAUUCCAACAUUCAACCAGAUGCCCCUUAUAUACUCUCUAUGCUUCACCAAAACCAGUUCAUGAUCAUAGUGCACCUCCCAAAGUAAAUAAGGACAAGCUAGGCAGCACUAAUAAGGAAGGACCAUCCAAGGAGGUGAAACAUCUCGCAAGAGUUCAAAAGAUUGUCAAAUUCCGGUCGAUCAAUGAGGAUCAUCA